Molecule: ribosomal RNA, 425 nt
Filed under: uncultured bacterium
Lineage: Bacteria
Description: bacterial SSU rRNA
Rfam family: Bacterial small subunit ribosomal RNA
Source: RNAcentral
GUGGGGAAUAUUGGGCAAUGGGCGAAAGCCUGACCCAGCAACGCCGCGUGAAGGAAGAAGGUCUUCGGAUCGUAAACUUCUAUCCUUGGUGAAGAUAAUGACGGUAGCCGAGAAGGAAGCCCCGGCUAACUACGUGCCAGCAGCCGCGGUAAUACGUAGGGGGCAAGCGUUGUCCGGAAUGAUUGGGCGUAAAGGGCGCGUAGGCGGACUGGUAAGUCUGGGGUGAAAGUCCUGCUUUUAAGGUGGGAAUUGCUUUGGAUACUGUCGGGCUUGAGUGCAGGAUAGGUAAGUGGAAUUCCCGGUGUAGCGGUGAGAUGCGUAGAGAUCGGGAGGAACACCAGUGGCGAAGGCGACUUACUGGACUGUAACUGACGCUGAGGCGCGAAAGUGUGGGGAGCAAACAGGAUUAGAUACCCUGGUAGUCC